This 73-nucleotide transfer RNA is filed under the name Candidatus Melainabacteria bacterium RIFCSPLOWO2_02_FULL_35_15. Its description in RNAcentral is "tRNA-Thr". It matches the Rfam family "tRNA". From Rfam's summary of the family: Transfer RNA (tRNA) molecules are approximately 80 nucleotides in length. The record is from RNAcentral. RNAcentral also lists the same sequence under 2 other names. Lineage: Bacteria; Bacillati; Candidatus Melainabacteria.
GCCCCUCUAGCUCAGUUGGUAGAGCACGUCCUUGGUAAGGACGAGGUCGCCGGUUCAAUCCCGGUGGGGGGCU